GCUUCCUUAGCACAAUGGUAGUGCGUCCGGCUUGUCAGUAACCCUUUACACUUCUCUUCACAUGAAUACAAAACUAACCUCCAUCCAGUUAACCGGAAGGUUGCGGGUUCGACCCCCGUGGGUAGCG
RNAcentral lists this transfer RNA (127 nucleotides) under Penicillium antarcticum. It matches the Rfam family "tRNA". From Rfam's summary of the family: Transfer RNA (tRNA) molecules are approximately 80 nucleotides in length. Their secondary structure includes four short double-helical elements and three loops (D, anti-codon, and T loops). Lineage: Eukaryota; Fungi; Ascomycota; Eurotiomycetes; Eurotiales; Aspergillaceae. The record is from Rfam by way of RNAcentral.